Gopherus evgoodei (Goodes thornscrub tortoise) is the source of this 1415-nucleotide long non-coding RNA. RefSeq lists it as uncharacterized. The transcript is spliced from 4 exons. The record is from RefSeq and is a predicted model, not a curated record. NCBI's taxonomy places the organism in Eukaryota, Metazoa, Chordata, Testudines, Testudinidae.
GGAAGGCGCAGUAGCCAGCGGGGAAUUGCUGCUUAGUCCUUAUUUUUAGCGCCUCGCUCAACCUGUGGUGUCAGCCCGUGGACUAGAGAGACAUUGGAGAGUAUUGUUUGUAGACUGCUGCUCUAAGAACUUGGUCAGCUAAUGAAUGGGGUAAGGACGUUGCUUGUUCACAAGACCCAGCAUGAAGUCAGAAUGGAAAGAUUCUUUUCCAUUAAAAAUGAAGAUGCCAACAGAAGCAUAUACUCUUCUGGUUGAUUUCAUAGUCUGAAAAGUUAUCAGCAUCACUGACUGACAUGCAAAUAAGAGGAGACAGUGGCCUAGGAGUCUGCUUCUGUGUGCACUUAAAAACAUAAAUGCAUAGUUAGUACCAGUAGCCAGGGGCACUCUUGACCUGAAAGAAGCAGAUGGAAGACCAAUAAGCCCCCAUGAGACUUGCAGCUGUGAGUUCACAUCCUCUUAAGCAGCUGUUGUUUUUAUGCAGCCAUAAAGGUGUCUCUGAUGUGGAAGCCUUUGUUCCCAGUGAUACCCAGAAAGAGUACACCCCUGGAAGAACUAAUGUGCAGUAACCAGACUCUCACUGGUGGAUAGACUUUCAUCUCUCUUAGACACCGGGAGAAGUCUGAGGAUCAGCUGCAGAUUGUACCAAAAAGGACAAAGCCCUAGGAGAAACAGCUUGAAUUCCACCCUAUGUCAGAGAAACCUUCACACUGAGGGGGGUGGCUUUUUCACACCCCUGCAUGAUCUUUCAUCUAUCUCAGACAUGAAUUAAUCCUCCUACCAUCCCUAUGACAAAGGUAAAUAUCUUUAUACCUGCCUUAUAGAUGGGUAGACUGAGGCUCAGAAAAGGAAAAAGGCAAGUUUGAGGCAAAACUGGAAGUAGAAUCCCAGAGCCUUAACUGCCAUUCUCCUGCACCACUCACUGGACCAAGAAGUGUUAACUACAGCCCAAAAGAGAAAUUAACCUUCAUAGACAGAGCAGAAGGGUAAGGGCAGUGUCCAGCCAGAGGGAGGGCUGGCUAAACCAUGUUGCAGCUGUUUGUAUGCAUGUAUUCACACAUGCAACUGAAGAAAGUAAAUGAACACAACCAAUCUAAGACAAUGAAUCGAACAGUCACCAGAACAAAGAUGCAAGACACAGUAAAUCUAAAUGCCAUUCUCAGCCAUUUGUGUGGCGUAAUCAAGCAGGUGGGAGUGUAAAAGCUCCCUCGUCACUUAUUCCUGAAUCAUCUUUAGCAUGUUAUUGCCUAGCGCUCUUGUAGCAUGUUGUCUGCCAGAUAAUAAACGACUGAUGCUUCAUUCACCACUGUAAUGAGCAGCAAAGAGUCCUGUGGCACCUUAUAGAUUAACAGACGUAUUGGAGCAUGAGCUUCAUUCACCACUGUAAUGAGGACAUUAUUAAAAAUUAUCUCUGGAAA